RNAcentral lists this ribosomal RNA (253 nucleotides) under uncultured bacterium. RNAcentral's name for it is "partial 16S ribosomal RNA". It matches the Rfam family "Bacterial small subunit ribosomal RNA", at positions 524 to 776 of the family's 1533-position model. The record is from RNAcentral.
UACGUAGGUGGCAAGCGUUGUCCGGAUUUACUGGGCGUAAAGAGCGCGCAGGCGGCUGGGCAAGUCCGAUGUGAAAGCUUCCGGUUUAACUGGAAAAUUGCAUCGGAAACUGCUCGGCUUGAAGGUGGGAGAGGGUAGCGGAAUUCCCGGUGUAGUGGUGAAAUGCGUGGAUAUCUGGAGGAACACCGGUGGCGAAGGCGGCAUCCUGGACCGGUAUUGACGCUGAGGCGCGAAAGCCAGGGGAGCAAACGGG